RNAcentral lists this ribosomal RNA (622 nucleotides) under uncultured marine bacterium. RNAcentral's name for it is "bacterial SSU rRNA". It matches the Rfam family "Bacterial small subunit ribosomal RNA", at positions 879 to 1501 of the family's 1533-position model. The record is from RNAcentral.
AGUACGGCCGCAAGGUUAAAACUCAAAUGAAUUGACGGGGGCCCGCACAAGCGGUGGAGCAUGUGGUUUAAUUCGAUGCAACGCGAAGAACCUUACCUAGUCUUGACAUCCACAGAACUUUCCAGAGAUGGAUUGGUGCCUUCGGGAACUGUGAGACAGGUGCUGCAUGGCUGUCGUCAGCUCGUGUUGUGAAAUGUUGGGUUAAGUCCCGCAACGAGCGCAACCCUUAUCUUUUGUUGCCAGCGGUCCGGCCGGGAACUCAAAGGAGACUGCCAGUGAUAAACUGGAGGAAGGUGGGGAUGACGUCAAGUCAUCAUGGCCCUUACGACCAGGGCUACACACGUGCUACAAUGGCGCAUACAAAGAGAAGCGACCUCGCGAGAGCAAGCGGACCUCAUAAAGUGCGUCGUAGUCCGGAUUGGAGUCUGCAACUCGACUCCAUGAAGUCGGAAUCGCUAGUAAUCGUGGAUCAGAAUGCCACGGUGAAUACGUUCCCGGGCCUUGUACACACCGCUCGUCACACCAUGGGAGUGGGUUGCAAAAGAAGUAGGUAGCUUAACCUUCGGGAGGGCGCUUACCACUUUGUGAUUCAUGACUGGGGUGAAGUCGUAACAAGGUAACC